UACGGAGGGGGCUAGCGUUGUUCGGAAUUACUGGGCGUAAAGCGCACGUAGGCGGACCAGAAAGUUGGGGGUGAAAUCCCGGGGCUCAACCUCGGAACUGCCUUCAAAACUAUUGGUCUGGAGUUCGAGAGAGGUGAGUGGAAUUCCGAGUGUAGAGGUGAAAUUCGUAGAUAUUCGGAGGAACACCAGUGGCGAAGGCGGCUCACUGGCUCGAUACUGACGCUGAGGUGCGAAAGCGUGGGGAGCAAACAGG
RNAcentral lists this ribosomal RNA (253 nucleotides) under uncultured bacterium. Its description in RNAcentral is "partial 16S ribosomal RNA". It matches the Rfam family "Bacterial small subunit ribosomal RNA", at positions 524 to 776 of the family's 1533-position model. The record is from RNAcentral.